UGGUUAGGCAUUUUGACUGUGAUACUCAACCAAGUUGGGUGUUUGUUUUUCUGAUGAACCUUGGCUUGAAGAUACUCUAAAUUUGUAUUAUCAUUUCAGUUAUCUUUUUUGAUUUUGUCAUUUUUACUUCUGGCAAUUGGUUUGUUCCUCAAUACAGUGGAGAGUAGUUUCACAGAGUUGAAGUUAUUAAUUAUCAAUGCAUUUGUGAUUGUUUAGGAUAGGUCCAUGAUGUUUUGGAGUAAAGGAAUGACUUCAACCUCAGUUGUGCCUCAAAAAAGCCUUUGACUAGUUUGGCUGCUUUGAUCUGGGCAUGCAUACCUCUUUCGCUUGGGGAUUUAUGGAUCCAUUAGAUCGACAUAAAUGAAUAUUUGAAGGCUUUUACAUUUAGCAAGGAGGAUGACAUUAUGGUACUUUUCUUGCCAAGUCGAAGUGUAUGAUUUACCACUUCAUCUUAAAGGAUUGGGUAUCAGAAUGUUUUGAUGGCGAUGAACAAAGUGAUGUGGUCAUUAGGUGCGACUUUUUCCUCAUAAACACUUAUGAGUUCAUCAUUAUGAUACUUUUUCUCAAUGUGUUAAUCCUAGAGCAUUAAUAAAUUGGAGGAACAUGGUGCUCAAUAUCCCAACUAAAAUCAUGGCGGUGGGGGGUUUGGUGUUGGUAAGGGAUCGUCAGAUAAGCUUGGGAGCAAGAAAGGUACUAGCUGGGAGGGGAUUUGUUAUCUAGCUCUCUAAGACUAUGUUUGGUUGGAAAGAAAGAAAUUGAGUGGAUUUUUAUUUUUUUUAGAUGUGUUUGGAUGAAAGAAAAAUAAGAAGGAAAGAAAUGUUAUAAAAAGACAAUUUCAUUCUUGUAUUAUAAAAUAUAUUAAAAAAAUUGAAAAAAAAAAUUGGUAUGUCUCAUCCACUUUUUUACACCAUUCAACUUUUUUUCUUUAAUUUCUCUUCUCAACCAAACAAUGAAAAAUAAUUAUUUUUCUUCUAAUUUUUUUUCCUCCCUUUUCUUUCCUUCUCAUUUUCUCUCAAACAAACAUAACCUAAGAGCGAUUUGGAUGUUGAGUGUCUCCUACUUCUUGGCUUCAAUGAGGUUGGAUUUUCCUCUUAUGGUCAUAGGUAGUCAUACACAUAGUUUUGGAUCUUGAUAUUGUUUUUUUAGUUAAACUCCUUUUGAAAUGAGUCUAUUUCCAUAACCCUUUUAUGAGGGUUAUUAGGAUUGUCUAGGAUUGUAGGUAAUCUAUUUGAAGGUGGUUCGUGCUGAAACAAUCUAUAUGAUCUUUUUGUUGAGACUCUUCU
This is a non-coding RNA of Arachis ipaensis, 1283 nucleotides long. The record is from RefSeq and is a predicted model, not a curated record. Lineage: Eukaryota; Viridiplantae; Streptophyta; Magnoliopsida; Fabales; Fabaceae.